CCAAUUUUGUAUAUUUUUCCAUUUUUUGAAAAUUUUGGAUUUUUCUUUGGUUUAUCUAAAAUUUAAAAGGUAUUUAUUAAUAAAAUGUUCAAAUAAACUCAAAACACUUUGAUUUUGAUCAUAAAAAAAUGAUUAGAAGUAAGUCAUUUACAUAUUUAAAACUUUGAUGCAGGCUCGGUCAAUAAAAGAUUUUUAUAUGGUUACAACGUUUCGAGCAUGAAUACACUCUUCAUCAGACCUUUAUUGAAAAAUUAUAAAUUAAUGUACAUUAUUAUACAUAAGUCAACAAAACUUACAACAACAAUUAGUUGAUUUGUAUUUACAACAAAAACACACAUUUCAAUUUAUUUAUCAGCAUUAAAUGAACUAUAAGAUUAAAUAUAAAUUAAAAUUUAAACAUUUUAUAAAUAAAAAUAAAACUAUUAAACAGUAAAAAUUAAAUUUUGCAAAACCUACAAGAAUUUUUUCACACCACUGUUCACGACGACUUUUUCUUUUUAUUUGUUAUCAGCUGGUUGUAUAUAAUGCUGAGACUGUCACAAUCAGACCGUCUAUUAACUGCAUUAUCGGUGUUGUUGAUAUGCAGCAUCUCUAGCAACAUUCUUUUGUUAUGAUGCCUCUCCACCUCCAAAAUUGUGACGUCAUCAAAGUUAGGUUUGUGGUUCUUUUCUAUGCAAUGCAAGUGCAGUUUUUUGAGAGCCACCGUUGUUUAUAUCGGAUCGAUGGCCUGAGAGACGAUUGCGGAGCUUUUGUUUCGAUGUUCCUACAUAUACGGAAGAACAAUCCGUCCCACUCCCACCUACACAUUUAAUUUUGUAAACCACGUCUGACUUAUCCGUUUUCUCUAUUUUUCCUUUGGUGUUGGUGAAAAGUAAUGUUCUUAGAGUAAGUGCAGACUUAAACGCUAUUCUCGUUUUCUCUUUGUUUCUAAGUGGUGCUGUUUUUAUGCGGUUUGAAAGAGAUGGUAUAUACAAAGUACUACGGUAGCUUAUGAUAAGUUGAUCAUUAGGGGGGGUGGGUGUACAUUUAUUUUUACUAAUUUGUAUUAAUUUGUUGAUGACAUGAGCGGGGAAUGAGUUCGAACACAGGGUGUUCUCAAUAAUUUUAAUAUUUUUAUUUCGAAAAUAUAUAUGACUACAAUCAAGCACUUUAUUAAUGAAAUUUUUCCAAUCAAUAUGAUAUUAAAGAUAGUUGAGAGAAAUUGGAACAAUAUAAAACUACACACUAAAAUAAGAAAGUCCAUGUUCAUGGAAAUGCUACGAUUCUGUAUAAUCGACAACAAUUACUUAGAAUUUGAAAACAAAAUAUAUCAACAGAAGCAAGGGGUACCUAUGGGUAGCCCCAUUUCACCUAUAUUGGCGGACAUAGUAAUGGAGGCAUUGCUGGAAGACGUAAUUGAGAAAUGAGUAUCGAAACCAAAAAUAAUAACAAAAUAUGUCGAUGAUCUGUUUGCAAUAGUUAAAUCUGAUUGUGUUUCUAUAACGGUAGAAGCUUUGAAUUCAUUUCAUAGAAAGAUUCAAUUUACGGUGGAGGCAGAAAAAGAAGGACGUCUAGCCUAUCUCGAUGUCCAAGCAGUAAGGGACAAUGGCAAAAUUAUCUUCGAUUGGUUCAAAAAACCUACUUCAUCUGGACGUCUAAUAAAUUUUCAUUCUAAACAACCAAAACAGCUUAUAUUCAAUACUGCCCAAAAUUUCAUUAAUAAAGUGCUUGAUUGUAGUCAUAUUAAUUUUCGAAAUAAAAAUAUUAAAAUUAUUGAGAACACCCUUUGUUCGAACUCAUUCCCCGCUCAUGUCAUCAACAAAUUAAUACAAAAUAGUAAAAAUAAAUGUACACCCACCCCCCCUAAUGAUCAACUUCCCAUAAGCUACCGUAGUACUUUGUAUAUACCAUCUCAUUCAAACCGCAUAAAAACAGCACCACUUAGAAACAAAGAGAAAACGAGAAUAGCGUUUAAGUCUGCACUUACUCUAAGAACAUUACUUUUCACCAACACCAAAGGAAAAAUAGAAAAAAUGGAUAAGUCAGACGUGGCUUACAAAAUUAAAUGUGCAGGUGGGAGUGAGACGGAUUGUUCUUCCGUAUAUGUAGGAACAUCGAAACAAAAGCUCCGCAAUCGUCUCUCAGGCCAUCGAUCCGAUAUAAACAACGGUGGCUCUCAAAAAACUGCACUUGCAUUGCAUAGAAAAGAACCACAAACCUAACUUUGAUGACGUCACAAUUUUGGAGGUGGAGAGGCAUCAUAACAAAAGAAUGUCGUAGAGAUGCUGCAUAUCAACAACACCGAUAAUGCAGUUAAUAGACGGUCUGAUUGUGACAGUCUCAGCAUUAUAUACAACCAGCUAAUAACAAAUAAAAAGAAACAGUCGUCGUGAACAGUGGUGUGAAAAAAUUCUUUUCAUUUAAUGCUGGUAAAUAAAUUGAAAUGUGUGUUUUUGCUGUAAAUACAAAUCAAAUAAUUGUUGUUGUAAGUUUUGUUGAUUUAUGUAUAAUAAUGUACAUUAAUUUAUAAUUUUUCAAUAAAGGCCUGAUGAAGAGUGUAUUCAUGCUCGAAACGUUGUAACCAUAUAAAAAUCUUUUAUUGACCUGGAGCCUGCAUCAAAGUUUUUCAUAUAUAUACUAUUUGAAGAGGUCACUACAAAAUUCCUAUAAUU
Molecule: long non-coding RNA, 2651 nt
Organism: Episyrphus balteatus (marmalade hoverfly)
Lineage: Eukaryota; Metazoa; Arthropoda; Insecta; Diptera; Syrphidae
Exons: 2
Source: RefSeq, a predicted model, not a curated record